UUUGGAUUGGAGGGGGCAGUAAUAGAUUUCUCCCAAAACUUUCCCUUCUACUGAGCAGGGAUCUAAUCUAUUUCCCAUCAGUUCCCAUUGAAUUGUAAGCCACUUGAGGGCAGGGGCUGUCUUUUAAAAAAUGUGUGUCCCUGGCACCUAGCCCAGUAUCUGACACAUAGUACUUGCAUAACAAAUGUUUAUUAUAUUUAUGUUGUGGAGGAACUUAAGGUGAACCCCAGGUUUGGACAGGACCCUUUGCAAGAAUGCAAGACUCCAAAACUUAGCUUAGAAAUAAAAAGAGAAAUGUAUAAAUUUGGUAUUCAUGCUGAAUUUGGCUGGGAGAACAGUACAGGUGGAACACUCCCUCCUGGAGAGGAUGUGUCCUGGGCUUUUUAUACUUUUUAAACAAUAGGGGCUAUGUGACAAGGGAUAAGGGUGAUGGAAUGAGAUUAGGCACCAGUGAGGGAUGUUUGUCAUCUUAUUCAGGGCUGGAGUGAUGUCUUGUGUCCCAAAGACACAGGAGGUGACCAGGAUACAGCCUGACAGUAUCAGAGCAUAAUUGGGAGAUAUAUAUCUGUGACCAUCUCAUAAUCUAGGGGAGAAUGCAAAGGGAAGAUUUCUCUCAGGGGUCUUUUUUACCAUGAGUCUCUGAAGCCCAGAGUCACCUUUCCCUCAGCACGACAAGAAUGCAAGGAAGGAAAGGAAUUUUCCCAUUUUCUUUUUGUCUUGAAAUACUUCUGGAGUCUGGGGGGUGGGGUCCAAGGGAACCCCAGGGUCCCAUGCCAUUUAUUGUUUAUAUUGUCUAUCAUAGUGUUCAGUGAUGCCGACUUUGUUGUCCACUAUGACUUCAAGAUCUUUUUUCAAGGGAACUGCUAUCUAGCUCUACUUCUGCCAUCUUGUACUUGGGAAGUUGAAUUUUUUGCAAGAUGGCUCCCCUGCUGGAUUCUGGGCUACAUUGAUUUCUCUUCCCUUGAAAGCUGCCAUGACUUCUGAAAAGCCUGGACCAGAGGCAGGGACUGCACUGACUGUGCUGGACUUGGACCCUGACUUCCUGAAGGGCUGAGGAUGCCCCCAUCGCCUGGAUUCUGAGGUGGUGUUUCAUUGAUUCUGUAGGAUAGAUGCUACUAAUCUCUG
Molecule: long non-coding RNA, 1125 nt
Filed under: Monodelphis domestica (gray short-tailed opossum)
Lineage: Eukaryota; Metazoa; Chordata; Mammalia; Didelphimorphia; Didelphidae
Description: lncRNA (ENSMODG00000051223.1)
Source: RNAcentral